CUCCUACGGGAGGCAGCAGUGGGGAAUUUUGGGCAAUGGGCGGAAGCCUGACCCAGCCACGCCGCGUGAGUGAUGAAGGCCUUCGGGUCGUAAAGCUCUGUGGGGAGGGACGAAUAAGCACGGUGCUAAUAUCACCGGGCCCUGACGGUACUUCCUUAGCCAAGCACCGGCUAACCAUGUGCCAGCAGCCACGUAAUAC
RNAcentral lists this ribosomal RNA (199 nucleotides) under uncultured bacterium. RNAcentral's name for it is "partial 16S ribosomal RNA". It matches the Rfam family "Bacterial small subunit ribosomal RNA", at positions 336 to 526 of the family's 1533-position model. The record is from RNAcentral.